RNAcentral lists this ribosomal RNA (491 nucleotides) under uncultured bacterium. RNAcentral describes it as "partial 16S ribosomal RNA". It matches the Rfam family "Bacterial small subunit ribosomal RNA", at positions 28 to 507 of the family's 1533-position model. The record is from RNAcentral.
GAUGAACGCUGGCUACAGGCUUAACACAUGCAAGUCGAGGGGAAACGACGGGGAAGCUUGCUUCCCCGGGCGCCGACCGGCGCACGGGUGAGUAACGCGUAUCCAACCUGCCUCUGACUGAGGGAUAACCCGUCGAAAGUCGGCCUAAUACCUCAUGGUAUCGUCUGCGGGCAUCCAACGACGAUUAAAGAUUUCAUCGGUCAGGGAUGGGGAUGCGUCUGAUUAGCUUGUUGGCGGGGUAACGGCCCACCAAGGCUACGAUCAGUAGGGGUUCUGAGAGGAAGGUCCCCCACAUUGGAACUGAGACACGGUCCAAACUCCUACGGGAGGCAGCAGUGAGGAAUAUUGGUCAAUGGGCGAGAGCCUGAACCAGCCAAGUAGCGUGCAGGAAGACGGCCCUAUGGGUUGUAAACUGCUUUUAUGCGGGGAUAAAGUGAGGGACGUGUCCCUCAUUGCAGGUACCGCAUGAAUAAGGACCGGCUAAUUCCGUG